RNAcentral lists this ribosomal RNA (371 nucleotides) under uncultured organism. RNAcentral describes it as "partial 16S ribosomal RNA". It matches the Rfam family "Bacterial small subunit ribosomal RNA", at positions 527 to 896 of the family's 1533-position model. The record is from RNAcentral.
AGAGGGUGCGAGCGUUAAUCGGAAUGACUGGGCGUAAAGGGCGCGUAGGUGGUUAUAUAAGAGAGAUGUAAAAGUCCCGGGCUUAACCUGGGAAGGCCAUCUGAGACUGUAUGACUAGAGAGCAGUAGAGGUAAGCGGAAUUUCCGGUGUAGCGGUGAAAUGCGUAGAGAUCGGAAGGAACACCAGAGGCGAAGGCGACUUACUGGACUGCAUCUGACACUGAGGCGCGAAAGCGUGGGGGUAGCGAACAGGAUUAGAUACCCUGGUAGUCCACGCCGUAAACGAUGAGAACUAGCCGUUGGCUUCGUAAAGGAGUCAGUGGCGCAGCUAACGCAUUAGUUCUCCGCCUGGGGAGUACGGCCGCAAGGUUA